RNAcentral lists this ribosomal RNA (1077 nucleotides) under Enterobacter cloacae. Its description in RNAcentral is "bacterial SSU rRNA". It matches the Rfam family "Bacterial small subunit ribosomal RNA", at positions 35 to 1100 of the family's 1533-position model. Lineage: Bacteria; Pseudomonadati; Pseudomonadota; Gammaproteobacteria; Enterobacterales; Enterobacteriaceae. The record is from RNAcentral.
GCUGGCGGCAUGCUUAACACAUGCAAGUCGAACGGUAGCACAGAGAGCUUGCUCUCGGGUGACGAGUGGCGGACGGGUGAGUAAUGUCUGGGAAACUGCCUGAUGGAGGGGGAUAACUACUGGAAACGGUAGCUAAUACCGCAUAACGUCGCAAGACCAAAGAGGGGGACCUUCGGGCCUCUUGCCAUCAGAUGUGCCCAGAUGGGAUUAGCUAGUAGGUGGGGUAACGGCUCACCUAGGCGACGAUCCCUAGCUGGUCUGAGAGGAUGACCAGCCACACUGGAACUGAGACACGGUCCAGACUCCUACGGGAGGCAGCAGUGGGGAAUAUUGCACAAUGGGCGCAAGCCUGAUGCAGCCAUGCCGCGUGUAUGAAGAAGGCCUUCGGGUUGUAAAGUACUUUCAGCGGGGAGGAAGGUGUUGUGGUUAAUAACCGCAGCAAUUGACGUUACCCGCAGAAGAAGCACCGGCUAACUCCGUGCCAGCAGCUGCGGUAAUACGGAGGGUGCAAGCGUUAAUCGGAAUUACUGGGCGUAAAGCGCACGCAGGCGGUCUGUCAAGUCGGAUGUGAAAUCCCCGGGCUCAACCUGGGAACUGCAUUCGAAACUGGCAGGCUAGAGUCUUGUAGAGGGGGGUAGAAUUCCAGGUGUAGCGGUGAAAUGCGUAGAGAUCUGGAGGAAUACCGGUGGCGAAGGCGGCCCCCUGGACAAAGACCGACGCUCAGGUGCGAAAGCGUGGGGAGCAAACAGGAUUAGAUACCCUGGUAGUCCACGCCGUAAACGAUGUCGACUUGGAGGUUGUGCCCUUGAGGCGUGGCUUCCGGAGCUAACGCGUUAAGUCGACCGCCUGGGGAGUACGGCCGCAAGGUUAAAACUCAAAUGAAUUGACGGGGGCCCGCACAAGCGGUGGAGCAUGUGGUUUAAUUCGAUGCAACGCGAAGAACCCUUACCUACUCUUGACAUCCAGAGAACUUUCCAGAGAUGGAUUGGUGCCUUUCGGGAACUCUGAGACAGGUGCUGCAUGGCUGUCGUCAGCUCGUGUUGUGAAAUGUUGGGUUAAGUCCCCGCAACGAGCGCA